RNAcentral lists this ribosomal RNA (325 nucleotides) under Escherichia coli. RNAcentral's name for it is "partial 23S ribosomal RNA". It matches the Rfam family "Bacterial large subunit ribosomal RNA", at positions 1615 to 1919 of the family's 2925-position model. The record is from RNAcentral. Lineage: Bacteria; Pseudomonadati; Pseudomonadota; Gammaproteobacteria; Enterobacterales; Enterobacteriaceae.
AAGCCUCUAAGCAUCAGGUAACAUCAAAUCGUACCCCAAACCGACACAGGUGGUCAGGUAGAGAAUACCAAGGCGCUUGAGAGAACUCGGGUGAAGGAACUAGGCAAAAUGGUGCCGUAACUUCGGGAGAAGGCACGCUGAUAUGUAGGUGAAGUCCCUCGCGGAUGGAGCUGAAAUCAGUCGAAGAUACCAGCUGGCUGCAACUGUUUAUUAAAAACACAGCACUGUGCAAACACGAAAGUGGACGUAUACGGUGUGACGCCUGCCCGGUGCCGGAAGGUUAAUUGAUGGGGUUAGCCGCAAGGCGAAGCUCUUGAUCGAAGCC